CCCCUCCGCCCUGCCCUACCACCGCUGCGCUCCCGUGCCUCCCCUACACAUGCCCCGCGCUCCCGUCAUCAUCCUACAGGCCCAGGCUACCUCCUAUAGUGGAACCCCAGGCGGGGGGACCUAUCCUCCGGCGCCGGAGGGGACGGCGGCCUGAAGAACGACGAGUCGCUGGAGUCGUUUUCGAGGGAGGACGAGCAGCGCACGUAGUUGUGGUCAACCGAGAGAGCGCGCGCAUGUCGCUGCAGAGGAAGAAGCAGUGCACUGGCCGCCUCCGCCAUGUGAGAGGCUCCUGCUUCCGGAGGCGAGGAGCUUGUCGGCGUCCAACUCCUCAAGGAGAGGCGCACUCCACAUGCUCGCCAAGCUGCCCCACCCACCCCAUGCACUCCUACACACCACGGGAAGAUAUCAGGUGAUACCAUGUAUUAGGUGAUACCAUGAUACGAGCUUCUCAGAUCCGACGGCUCCCCGGAGUUCUUGAGCAUUUUGCAAAAAGGUCAUCCAGGAGUCUUAAAAUUUCGCGUAGGUACAAUAGACUUUCGAGAGCGCCGUCGGAUCUGAGAUCCAACGGCCCAGAAGCCUAUAUCAUGGUAUCACCUAAGUGUUGGUAGCAUCUGAUAUUUUCCCUACACACCACUACUAGCUUGCUGUGACCCUCUCCCAUGGCAUCAGUGGCUGCCGUGGUAGGUUCAACAAGCAUUUUCUGACCUCUUAAGUGUUUGUUAUAAUGCCUACAAGAAGUCAAGCAAAAAAUUAUUUCAAGUUUGUACCGAUGUUUAUGGUAGUUGGAGAUUAGGGGUAAACAAUAUUUUCUUGCUGGCUAAUGAUUGUUUCAGUUUGUUAUGUGGGAAUUUUGUUAUAGCAAAAGCUGAAUAGGUGUUCGUCGGCUGCCGUCAUCUUUGGCUGCCAGUCCGCUUUAUGGGUACGGUUGCUACAACUUAUUAAUUAGAAUCAGUCCCGUUCAUGUCUUUGUUGGGUCGAGUGCCCUUUUGCAAUGGAAUUUAUUUUGUGAAGAACCGAUUUGGCCACAUCCUAACAGAACAUAAAAAUCUGACGAAUCAAUCUGGCCACAUCAUUUUACACUUAUUGAUUGAUCUGGGUAAUUUGUUUGCAAUUUGCUGUGCAAAUCAAUCUAGCUGAUUUUUAGAGUUAAUUACAAUAAGUGAAAUAUAACCUCAUGAGGUCUCUUCACUAUGUUUAGAGUUGAUUUUUUGAUUCAAACAGAUUUAGAUCAUGUAUUUGUGAAUGGCGUAGGUCUGAAGUGCUUUCAGCCAUUUUUUUUUAGAAAAGGAGGAUGACCCCCGGCCUCUGCAUCUGGAAGAUGCAUACGGCCACUUUAUUGAUUAUUCCCGAGGACCUUACAAAGUGUUACAACAAUAAGCCUGAAUCCACCAACUAGGCAACAUAUGCCGCUACUCCUAUCCAUAUGAUGAAGGGGUGCUAGCUGGGCCCCUACCCAGACCAGUCACCUAAACCUAACAUCGAAAGCCGGAAUCCCUAGCCUAGCCACAUACCGGGUCUGGGGCAUAAACCGGUCUGACGCACUCACAGGUGUCGUCUCCACCAUCUUCCACUGGUCCAUCUCCAAGCAGAUUGAGGUGCCAUCCUUGGCAGGCCCUCCGCCAUCAACGCCACCAUGACGCCGAAUGACGACCACCACCUACGGUAGAACAUCACCAAGCAGAUGGAGCGCUACCACAGGACGAAGAUCAGCGGUAGAAUAGAUAAAUCGCCGCACAUAUUGCCGCCGCCAAACACCUCACACGCACCACGAAGCGCCCACCGUGCUUCCGGGGACCCCAGGCGACGCCUUCAAGAAGGAGCGCGAUGAAGGGACGACGCCGUUGCCCGCAAGGGGAACUAGAGCUUUUGCCCAAAUGAAGAGCACAGUGAGAGACGGGAUAGGACCUCGACAAGGCCUCCAAGAAGGGAACCGACGCCCACAAGGCGCCGCCAUUGUCGUGGCCUCCGCCGACGGCCAAGGGUUUCCCCCGAUCCCGCCCCCGUCCCAACCACCCGGCCAAAGACCUGGCCAGGGGAGCGCCCGCAGCCGGAGAAGGCAUCGGACUUCAUCGUAGCAGGCACGCCGGGUGACGGGGCACCCCGACCCACCGUAGUAGACGUCCACCGAGACCUCGCCGCCCGCACAGCCGAAGUCGCGGACCACCAGCUCCCACGGCCGUCGCCCGUCAAGAGGCCACGCCGUCCACGCCGUCCGAGGCCGCCGCCCCGGCAUCCACCCACCGCGCACAUCCCAUCAAGACACGGAGAACGACCCACAUCGCCGCCACCAGGGAGACCACGCCGCGAACACCCUAGCCGGGCGACGAAGCAGGGCCGCGCCGGCCAGAUCCGGGCGGAUCCGGCGAUCCCCGGCCCACCAGCCGCCAGAGAGGAGCCAGCCCCGAUCCAGGGCCGCUCCGGUCUGAUCUGGCAGUUCGGCGGCCACCAGGAGUUGAGGAGGCGGGCGGCAGCGUCUGAUGCGGGAAGGGGGCGUCUCCACGUCGAGGCGGGUGCGCGGGGAAGCCCCGCCGUCGCCUACUGCCGCGGGGGCGGCUGCCGGCGGCGGCGGGGGAGGAGGAGGGGAGGCGAGGGAAACCUGGGGGCGGCUAGGGUAUCGCCCCCGAGUCGCCCGGAGCGGACGACGCGGGGGACCCGGAGCGGAGUGCUUUCAGCCAUAGCAACAUGCGCAUACAAGUGCUUGGAAGCAGGCAUGUUGAUUGAUUUCUGGGAGACUAGCAUGCACGAAGAAGCGAGCUAGAUAAGCUUUCGGCCGUAGCUCACAAAUACAUUCUAACAAAUUUCUUCCCAGUUGAACUAUUUUGUCCUACCGCAGAUGCCUAAUCAUCGGAACUGUGAGCAAAUAGGUCGGAACUAUGAGCAAGUAGGCCAUCGUUUACAAUUUCAAUGAUUAGUGAUGUUGAAGCUAAUCAUUCGACUUCACUGCCUUCCCAACAUAUAGAUAGAAAAUCAGGAGGCCGGUUCUUUGUCAAGAUCGAGAGGGUAUUCCCCGUUUAAAGAAGUCUCACUUGGUAAGGUUCUACAACCACUCAGGUUUUAGCCAAGCCAAAUAAAGACAGAUCCCUCUAGAUUGUUCUCCAUUCAUGUCAAUCCAUUUAUUUUAUUGUAUAUUUUUAGGGAAUGUUUCUCAUCUGCUUUUAAUGUGAUUAUUUUUUAUUUAUUUUCCGGAUUUCUGUGCAUGUUAUGUGCCAACUUCAACAGUUCUGUUUGGCUAAUAUAAAGUAGGGACCUUUUCUACAUAAUAAUACAAAGAGUUUACUCAAGGAUGUUUAUCAACUAGCAAGGUACUGUGUACAAGCUGAAUGUGAACUUUCUGAAAAAGAUGCAUGGCAGUUGUAUCUUAUGAGAGAAAAUAUUUAUGUUUGCAGUUUCAAAUACUGAAUAAUCUUCAGAAUACAUAUAUCAUGUUAAACCAAGUGGUUGUAGAGCUUUACGUUUUGUCCUUAACUUCUAUACUGAAUAAUGACAUGAGAAGAUCUGAUUUUUUUCUAUCUGCCUUUCUCCUACUCAUUUUGAGCAAUCAAUGAUCUCCCCUGCUACUGCUUCCAGUAUGCAUCUUCUGGAAUUCAAGGGUCAGAACAUUCCUCUGGACCAUCAAGUAUGGUCUGCUUCCAGCAAGAUUUUUUUUUUCUAAUUUAUGCAUCAUUGAGUAUCAUGAUGUUUGUACUAUUUUUUUUCUUGUCCGCAGACAUCUCGGAGAUGCUGAUAAAAUUAGUCACCAAUUUUGGAAAUCGACAAUGUCUAUAUGGACAGCAAAGCUUGAUGUUGUAUUUUCCACUUACUCUACCUUCUACCACACACCACUGAACUUUUGCCUCCAGUGCAAAGAAUUAUACAUACCGCACAUUUCUGCUA
Molecule: long non-coding RNA, 3873 nt
Organism: Triticum aestivum (bread wheat)
Lineage: Eukaryota; Viridiplantae; Streptophyta; Magnoliopsida; Poales; Poaceae
Exons: 2
Source: RefSeq, a predicted model, not a curated record